This 809-nucleotide long non-coding RNA is filed under the name Jatropha curcas. RNAcentral describes it as "long non-coding RNA (JCUR_LNC000692)". The record is from RNAcentral. Lineage: Eukaryota; Viridiplantae; Streptophyta; Magnoliopsida; Malpighiales; Euphorbiaceae.
GGAUUCCUAUUCAAUCCAUGUCAUGUCCAAUAUGUUUUUAUUUCUAAGCCAUGAAUUAUGUAUGUAAAAGAUUGGGUUGAGUAAAAAAAUUAUUAACUCGUUUAUCUAUUAUGGAUAUUUUAACUCAAUAAACUCGAUUUAAACUUGAUCAUGUGCAACCCAAAUAAAUACACUAAUUUAUACAUUCAAAUGGAUUGCAUCUCUACGAAUUUAAACUCUGAGGUAGGAAUUUAAAAUUUAGGCCCUUCUACCGGGAGGACUUUAGAAAAUUCUAAAUAUAAAUAUAUGGUGAUACAAAAUAUUUUUCUUUAUAUUAAUAUAGUCUGACAACAUAAUAGUUACACUUAAUAACAUUAAGAUUUCAUGAAAUUUUUGUUGAUCCGUUCCUGCCCUUCUCCUAUUAAUAACAACAAUAACAAUAUUAACAACAUAAUUUAUAAUUUAUUAAUAACAAUAAUAACAACAUUAACAACAUAAUUUAUAAUUUCAUGCAUAACCUGGCACACAAGUUUUCUUCUUGCCGGCUCCAACUGCCCUUCCCAGACCCUAUAUUAAUCAACCACCUCCAAGUUCACCAAAUAUAUUAAACAGCUAUCUGCUUUGACAACACAUACCAAUUAAUUAUAUUAAAUCUCAUUAAUCAGUGAUUGACAACAAAUGACAUUAAAAUUUCAAAUUUCUUACUAUUGUUUCUUGCGAGAAAGGGACUUCGUGUGAAGCGGGCACAAAUUACUUGCCUACUUGGUCAACUCUUUCCCUUACGUAAGACCUUUCUCUGAUAUCAAUAUCAUCUUCUUUGCAUAACUUAU